CUGGGAAGGGUGAGGCAUCUCUCAAGUUUGAAGAUGGGGAAUAGGGCCUUCCGCAUGUGUAAGGCGUUUAACAAAUGUCGGUCCUAAGAAGUGUCAAGAAAACGUUCCCAACAAUUUGGAGAACAUGGCAGAAGGACUCAAGUGGUAGUGGCCCUCGAAGAAGGGCCAGGCCUGGGAAAAGGAGUCAAUUUCCAGAAACAUGGCACCAAUGAGAUGAAUGAUGGUGAUGCAGGCCUGGGAAAUGAAGAAACUGCAGGAAGACAGAAAGAGCUUUGGUGAAAGGGAGAUGUCCAGAAACCAUGACCAAACAUGACAAUUCUACCUUCAUUCUUAAGAUUCCCCCUCUCCCAACCUGUACAGAGAAAGAACUACACAGCAACAGGCAGAGAAUGAGGUGACAGAAUAAUGGCUA
This is a non-coding RNA of Monodelphis domestica (gray short-tailed opossum), 412 nucleotides long. The record is from RefSeq and is a predicted model, not a curated record. NCBI's taxonomy places the organism in Eukaryota, Metazoa, Chordata, Mammalia, Didelphimorphia, Didelphidae.